RNAcentral lists this ribosomal RNA (443 nucleotides) under uncultured bacterium. RNAcentral's name for it is "bacterial SSU rRNA". It matches the Rfam family "Bacterial small subunit ribosomal RNA", at positions 338 to 795 of the family's 1533-position model. The record is from RNAcentral.
CCUACGGGUGGCUGCAAUUAGGAAUCUUGCGCAAUGGGCGAAAGCCUGACGCAGCGACGCCGCGUGGAGGAGGAAGGCCUUCGGGUUGUAAACUCCUUUUAGGUGGGAAGAAAUAAAUGACGGUACCACCAGAAUAAGCCCCGGCUAACUCCGUGCCAGCAGCCGCGGUAAUACGGAGGGGGCGAGCGUUGUCCGAAGUUACUGGGCGUAAAGCGCGCGUAGGUGGGUUGGCAAGUCUGCUGUGAAAGCCCGGAGCUCAACUCCGGAGGGUCGGUGGAUACUGCCAGUCUUGAAGGUGCUAGGGGGAAGUGGAAUUACCGGUGUAGCGGUGAAAUGCGUAGAUAUCGGUAGGAACACCAGUGGCGAAGGCGGCUUCCUGGGGCAUUCUUGACGCUGAGGCGCGAAAGCUGGGGGAGCGAACGGGAUUAGAUACCCUGGUAGUC